This is a long non-coding RNA of Nyctereutes procyonoides (raccoon dog), 3237 nucleotides long. RefSeq lists it as uncharacterized. The transcript is spliced from 4 exons. NCBI's taxonomy places the organism in Eukaryota, Metazoa, Chordata, Mammalia, Carnivora, Canidae. The record is from RefSeq and is a predicted model, not a curated record.
UCUGAACUUGAAGUGCCAAGUGAGGAGUCUAAAACUAUCUUAGAAAAUGGAUGCUCAUUUCAUCCUGAAUAACUCACACCACCUCCCUUGUUAAACCUGGAGUGGACACUGGUGUCUUACAAAAGUGCCCUUCUGCUCCCUGGCUCUGCUGGGGACAGUGCAAGGGAAGGGUUUCCCGGAGUCAGAUGGACCUGAGUUUGAAUACCACCCCUGCUCCUUGUCCUGCGCCCUUGGACAUGUUACCCUCCUCACUGACCUUUGACUUUGUUAUCUGUGAACUGCAGAAAUCGGCUUCGUAGAUGUGCUCAGAAGUGAACGAAUCAGAGGCUGUCAGCGCCAGGCCCCAAACCAUCGAGAGGAGAAGAAUGUUCUAGAAGAGCUUAAGUGGAGGUGGCACUCAAUCUGAGCACAUUCUGCACCAGUGAGAUGCCAUGAUCAAAGAAGGGGCUUUAGGAGUGUGACCUAGAGAAGGAACACAGCGCCCGGGCUUCAGUCAGCUUUACUCCUGCAGCCAGACGCACUCAGCGGAGCCCUUGGGGGCGCGUUUUCAGCUCUUGCUUCCUGUGGGCAGAGGUGGAACUUGACUUACGUGUAUGGCAAUCUCUUCUUAACUAUUUGCUAAAUCAUAUGUAGUUUCUAUAGGCAUCACCUCAACUUUUAAUGUGCCCAGAUAAAAGGCAAUAGUUGAGGAGUCUAUGUUUAGAUCAUUGUUGAAAAUUCUAAGCCUAAUAGAUUUUCAAGGACUCCUUCUUUGUGUAGAAAUACACCCAUGGCCAUGCCCUUCUGCACUAGGCAACGUUGGACGGUGUCUUUGCAUCCAAGGAGACUUCCCUGUUCUGCACCAAACUGCUGCCUUUCAUUAAGAGCCCAGGUGGCUCAGUCGGUUGAGUGUCUGCCUUCAGCUCAAGGUCAUGAUCCCAAGGUCCUGGGAUCAAGCCCCAUGUUGGGCUCCUCGCUGAGUGGGGAGUUUGCUUUUCCCUCUCCAGCCCACCCCAUCAUGCUCACUCUCGUCCUCUCUCUCUCAAAAAAAAUAAAUUCUUAAAAAUAAAAAAGAGAGAGAAAGAGAUUAACCAACAGUUUCUGCUAUCUAGCUGGGAUUGGCCUGGCUUCUGAGGGCUCUGAGGGGAAAUGAGAAAGCGUCAGGAAAAUCGAGAACUGGCUCACUCCAGGGGGAAGGGCCUUUCCUCAAGGAGAUGACCCCUCCUGAGUGAGGGCCUCAGGGGCAUCUACUCCACUUGGUCCUGUCAAAAAGCAUUUCUCCUUAUGCUCUUUUAUCCUCCUGGCACCACAUUAAUCCCUCGGAGACCCCACAAAAGCCUAGAUCUGAAGGCUCACGUGUUAGAAAUGGAACUGCCAAUUAAAGGAAAGGAAUAAGCUGCAGCUUUAAAAACACAACUCCCCCCGACUAGGAGACCCGAUUUUCCCCCCUGCCCUCCAUGGAGUCACAGCAGUGAAGGAGUUGGGGCAGCUGGCACUGCUGUUGGUCCAUAUGUAGCCAUCAGACCAGCCGACCCACGGGAGCCCAGUCUGAAGAGAUGUAUGGCCUAAACACGGUAAAGGGGGCAUCAUGUCACCUACCUGCAAGGCCAGGGACCCUCCAGGAGCAACUCCAAUUACAGGACAAUGCCCUUGUCACCACUGCCAUGAUGGGUCACUCACUGCUGGGAGUGGACCCCCACCUUGCCCUCAGUGAUGGGUACCAGUCACUAAGAGUAUCCUCAUGCUUGGAAGGAAAUCCCUAUGCAUGUCACUUCCGGGGUAAACCUCUAUUUAUUUUUCAACUAAAUAGAAGAAUCAAACAGCCAGAUGUCCCUUCUGUACAUCUUUAUUAACCAACAAGAGACCUGACAGCCGUCACCAUUUGGUUCCUCAGGACUCAAAAAAAGCAACACUCACACAACACCGUGGGGCCAGGCCCUGGCUCAGCUGAAUCACAUCCACAGCCUACGCUCACCACUGCACCCAGAGACCCGCCGUUCCAGGGCCUGACACUGAAAAGGUCCUGGAGUCAAAUGUUAAGUCCAGGAAAAUUUGGUGGAAAGUAAACGUGCUCUCAAAUUGCAGUUCUACUGGGUGAUGAUCCACCUCAUCUGAUAACCUCUGGCAAACUAGGAAACUCACCUUCUUCUUCCUACUGGUGAUAGCUGACACUGUUGUGUGCCUAUGGUGUGUCAGGUGCGGAGUGAGGCACUGAACGUGGAUCAUGUGCUAGGACUCCCUCACAGUGAUGGACGAAAGGGAGAGUGUCUGACCAGCCAGUAACAGCCAGGAGAGCGAACAGCUAGUUUGCUCCUUCUCAUCUCUCUCAUCUCCUUGAUUUCGGUUUAUAGUUUGUAAUUUCUAAUUCCCCGAGAGUUUCUGAGGCUGCCUGAAAUGUCAGCACGUUGCCUCCCCUGCUUUCCUUAAUUUAUAUGAUGACCAUUACCUGAAAACACCACCUGUGUGUCAGGCACCAUUCUAGAUUAAGGACGAAUAAGGUAGUCUCUUCUCUUAGGAGCCCAUGUAAACCUAAGAUGAACACGGAUAUAUGGUGUAAAUGAGUACAUAUAUUCACAUCCAUGAGACCUGUGCACUACAACCAAUAUUAAACAUACAUUAACAUUAAAAAAUAGAAUUUCUAAAGCUAACAAGGCCACCUAGACAUCCCCUGGUCUCACAGAUCCUGAAACAGUUCAAAAAAGCUAAGAAGGGAUCCCUGGGUGGCGCAGCGGUUUAGCGCCUGACUUUAGCCCAGGGCGCGAUCCUGGAGACCCGGGAUCGAAUCCCACGUCCGGCUCCCGGUGCAUGGAGCCUGCUUCUCCCUCUGCCUAUGUCUCUGCCUCUCUCUCUCUCUGUGUGUGUGUCUGUGACUAUCAUAAAUAAAUAAAUAAAUUAAUUAAUUAAAAAAAAAAAGCUAAGAAGACUUUCCCAGGUCCCUCAGUAAGCCUGCAGUAACUCUGGAACUAGAACUUACUGACUACACAUUCCUACUGACUACACACAUGCCUAUGAGUCAGCGCUCAAACAACAUAUGUGCUCCAACAAGGCUUCCAGCAAAAGGGGUCACUCCAAUGGCUCGGAUGGCCACAAGGCAUUGCCACUCUUGCUCACAUAACACAUAACCCAACUCCGUUAGAACACUAGCUUCUCUUUGAUGUUGGGCCACAAACACUCAAACAUGCAGUUGAUGGGCAGUUAAACUCCCCUCAAAGAGUUCUGUGUUCCUCAACUAACCACUCCCCGCCAACCUGGUUUAAU